CGAGGAUGGGGGCUGUGAUUGGAACUGCAACGCGGAGGAAUUUCUGGAAGAUUCGACGCGGUCGGCUGUGCAGCCUGAAGGUCGCCAGGGCUGCUGGGGAAUUUGGGACAAUGAUGAACAAAGCUGCUGUGGAUAUUUCUGUAUGAGGUUUUGUGUGGACUUACGCUCUCAUUUCUAUCGGCCACCCCUAAAGUGGAGACAUUGGGGACAUAGCGGUGAUCAAAUGGAUCCCACUUGGUCAACCACAUCCUGUCAUUCACUGAGGAUUUUGG
Molecule: long non-coding RNA, 272 nt
Organism: Lemur catta (Ring-tailed lemur)
Lineage: Eukaryota; Metazoa; Chordata; Mammalia; Primates; Lemuridae
Exons: 3
Source: RefSeq, a predicted model, not a curated record